This 508-nucleotide ribosomal RNA is filed under the name Bifidobacterium longum subsp. suillum. RNAcentral describes it as "bacterial SSU rRNA". It matches the Rfam family "Bacterial small subunit ribosomal RNA", at positions 166 to 689 of the family's 1533-position model. The record is from RNAcentral. Lineage: Bacteria; Bacillati; Actinomycetota; Actinomycetes; Bifidobacteriales; Bifidobacteriaceae.
AUGCCGGAUGCUCCAGUUGAUCGCAUGGUCUUCUGGGAAAGCUUUCGCGGUAUGGGAUGGGGUCGCGUCCUAUCAGCUUGACGGCGGGGUAACGGCCCACCGUGGCUUCGACGGGUAGCCGGCCUGAGAGGGCGACCGGCCACAUUGGGACUGAGAUACGGCCCAGACUCCUACGGGAGGCAGCAGUGGGGAAUAUUGCACAAUGGGCGCAAGCCUGAUGCAGCGACGCCGCGUGAGGGAUGGAGGCCUUCGGGUUGUAAACCUCUUUUAUCGGGGAGCAAGCGAGAGUGAGUUUACCCGUUGAAUAAGCACCGGCUAACUACGUGCCAGCAGCCGCGGUAAUACGUAGGGUGCAAGCGUUAUCCGGAAUUAUUGGGCGUAAAGGGCUCGUAGGCGGUUCGUCGCGUCCGGUGUGAAAGUCCAUCGCUUAACGGUGGAUCCGCGCCGGGUACGGGCGGGCUUGAGUGCGGUAGGGGAGACUGGAAUUCCCGGUGUAACGGUGGAAUGU